This 595-nucleotide ribosomal RNA is filed under the name Acinetobacter baumannii. Its description in RNAcentral is "bacterial SSU rRNA". It matches the Rfam family "Bacterial small subunit ribosomal RNA", at positions 57 to 648 of the family's 1533-position model. The record is from RNAcentral. Lineage: Bacteria; Pseudomonadati; Pseudomonadota; Gammaproteobacteria; Moraxellales; Moraxellaceae.
GCAGUCGAGCGGGGGAGGUAGCUUGCUACUAGACCUAGCGGCGGACGGGUGAGUAAUGCUUAGGAAUCUGCCUAUUAGUGGGGGACAACAUCUCGAAAGGGAUGCUAAUACCGCAUACGUCCUACGGGAGAAAGCAGGGGAUCUUCGGACCUUGCGCUAAUAGAUGAGCCUAAGUCGGAUUAGCUAGUUGGUGGGGUAAAGGCCUACCAAGGCGACGAUCUGUAGCGGGUCUGAGAGGAUGAUCCGCCACACUGGGACUGAGACACGGCCCAGACUCCUACGGGAGGCAGCAGUGGGGAAUAUUGGACAAUGGGGGGAACCCUGAUCCAGCCAUGCCGCGUGUGUGAAGAAGGCCUUAUGGUUGUAAAGCACUUUAAGCGAGGAGGAGGCUACUUUAGUUAAUACCUAGAGAUAGUGGACGUUACUCGCAGAAUAAGCACCGGCUAACUCUGUGCCAGCAGCCGCGGUAAUACAGAGGGUGCGAGCGUUAAUCGGAUUUACUGGGCGUAAAGCGUGCGUAGGCGGCUUAUUAAGUCGGAUGUGAAAUCCCCGAGCUUAACUUGGGAAUUGCAUUCGAUACUGGUGAGCUAGAGUA